This is a non-coding RNA of Paenibacillus sp. FSL H7-0737, 127 nucleotides long. The record is from Rfam. Lineage: Bacteria; Bacillati; Bacillota; Bacilli; Caryophanales; Paenibacillaceae.
GAGGCUGUAUCGAUAAAUCAUCGAAUGGUGCUCUAAUAGGUUUUAAUAAAUGAAUAGUAAUUAACUUGUAGCCAUGGAGGUGAACUCGUUGGAUUUUGCUCAGAUCCGUAAGGACCGAGACAAAAGA